RNAcentral lists this ribosomal RNA (253 nucleotides) under uncultured bacterium. RNAcentral describes it as "partial 16S ribosomal RNA". It matches the Rfam family "Bacterial small subunit ribosomal RNA", at positions 524 to 776 of the family's 1533-position model. The record is from RNAcentral.
AACGUAGGUGGCGAGCGUUAUCCGGAUUCACUGGGCGUAAAGCGAGUGCAGGUGGUUUUGUAAGUUGGAUGUGAAAUUUCCCGGCUUAACCGGGAAGGGUCAUUCAAUACUGCAGGACUUGAGGGCAAAAGAGGGGGGUGGAAUUGCCGGUGUAGUGGUGAAAUGCGUAGAUAUCGGCAGGAACACCUGUGGCGAAAGCGGCCCCCUGGUUUGUUCCUGACACUCAGACUCGAAAGCUAGGGUAGCGAACGGG